Molecule: long non-coding RNA, 8181 nt
Filed under: Gossypium barbadense (sea-island cotton)
Lineage: Eukaryota; Viridiplantae; Streptophyta; Magnoliopsida; Malvales; Malvaceae
Description: long non-coding RNA (GBAR_LNC015312)
Source: RNAcentral
CAAAAUGAGCUACUUUCAUGGCCGAUUAUACAUCAUCAUUAACAUUUCUCAUUGUCGAAUCAUAUAACCAACAUCACAAUCAUAUUUAACAUGAAACAUACCUCCAAAUUAAGCUUAUAACAUGACCAAAUAUAUAUAUACCAACAUUAGUAUCAUGAUCAAGCCAUUUUCGCAUGGUUAUAUACAUAUAUACAAAUUUCAAAACCAAACAUAUCAAAACUAGCCUAUACAUGCCACAUAACCAAAAACUCAAAGCUUAUAUUUACCGAAGCAAUAAAUGGAUGUGUGAUGAGGUCUCCUAUGACUUCCAACCCGAGCAAGUCUCUGAAACUCUAUAAACAUAGAAAGAAAACACACAAAGUAAGCUUAGAAAGCUUAGUAAGCCAUAAGCAAAUAAAUCAUCUCAAUGAUAUUUAUAAUUCAAUUUAACUAGGCCGAAUUUAGAAAAUCUCAACCACAUAUACAUCCAUCAUACUCGUAAAUUCUUAUGACCACAUUAAGUAACUUCACUUAUCUUAUUAUCAAUGAACAUAUAAACCAUGCUUUCAAAUUCGAAUAGCAACCGUUAGCUUAAUCAUAUAAAUUAAAUUUGCACAUAUUAAUUACAUAACCAACCAGAACAAGUCAUGUUUUACUAGCCAUUUCACAUAUAUGUUAACCAUGCAUCAUAACACCACCAUCUCGAUAUCAAUUAUCUAAUCCAAAUUUCAAACCAAAUUAGCAUACCUCAACACCAUGUUUCAUGUUUCAUAAUUCCCAUGUUCGAACAUAUGACCACAAUUUCAUAUAACGAGCAUAUGUAACACAAUGUUUAUUUGUAUACAUUCAUUUCAUUCAUUGUCAUAUAUUUCACAUAUCGUCAUUUUAAACAUACUCACCUUUCAAUUUUUGAAUAACAUAUACACUUCGUAUGUACCUGAAUCAGAUAUACUUUCACAUAGUCAUCCAUUUCUCGAUAUUGCCCGUUGAACCAUUCGAAAUCAAUAAGGAUACUCGGAUAGCUCAAAAAGCUCAUACAACGCCAUAUCCUAGAUAUGGUCUUACAUGUUAUCACAUAUCGAUGCCACUGUCCCACACAGGGUCUUACACGAAAUCAUAUACGAUGCCGAUGUCCCAGACAUGGUCUUACACGUACAUCACAAAUCGAUGCCAAUAUCCCAAACGUGGUCUUACACGAUAACACAUCUCGAAAUCCUAUGUCAUGACAUAUGUAUCAUAUAAUAUUCCUAUAGUUCGUACGGGGCUUUCGGACGUCAUCAUUCAAUCAAUUCCAGCUCGAAACACGUCAUUCCAUGCUCAAUUCAAUUCGGUAAUAUGUAUAUAAAUACAAUUCAAUUUGGUAAUAUAUAAAACAUAUACAUUUGAAUUCAAGAAUAUUUAUUCACUUAUGAACUUACCUCGUACGGACACGAAUGAACUGGAACGAUUAUUCAAUAACUUUCAACUUCCCCCGAUCCAAUUCUGAUUUCUUCCUUUCUUGAUCUUGAUCAAAGAUACAAGUGCCGAAUGCAUGAGAGCUCAAAAAUGGUGUUUUCUUUCUUUAGAAAUUUGGCAUUCACCAAAAGGAUGGACUAAAGUCAUGUUUUGGUUUAUUUAAUUAACCAUUAUUUAUUUAAUUACCAAAAUGUCCAUUAAUAAAACAUAAAUAAAACACUUAAUGGUUGUCCAUCUUUGUCCACCCAAUUAUUCAAUGGUCAAAUCACAACAUAAGGACCACACCUUUAAUUAACUAAAGCAAAUAAGCACUUUAACUUAUAGCAUGCUACUUUUCAAUUUUAUGCGAUUACGUCCUUUUUAUCGAAUUAACCACUCAAACGGUAAAAUUUCUUUACAAAAUUUUCACAUAAACAUCCUAUCAUACUAUAAACAUUAAUAAAAUAAUAAAAUAAUUAUUUUUACCUCAGAUUGUGGUCUCAAAACCACUGUUUUGACUAACCCUAAAAGCAGGCUGUUACAAUUUUCUUAUGAUUCAAAUGCAGUCCGAUUGAGCUUUUGUUGAGCUAACGGAGGGACCAAUCGGACAUAUACAAUUAGGCUCAAGUAAAUUACAAUUAUGUCUAGAAGCAUCAUUCCGAUAAUUCGCAAUUACUUAAUCAUUGAGUCAGUCCAUAAGAAGUACCAUGAUUGAAAAUUCCUUAUUGUAUACUCUUUACGAAAGCAAUUCAUCUAGCUGUUUUGUCAAGUAACCUUGUCAUGUGUGUGUUGUCCUCAUAUGAUAUCCUUGAUUCCUUUGAGUUAAAUACGUUCACUCAAUACAAUACAAUUUUAUCUCAUUGUCACCAUUGUGCCUUCUUAAUGAUUAAUAUGAUCACUGUCAACUAAUGACUUUGAUAAAUUGCUCGUUCGAGAAUAAGCAACCUGUGACCACAUUCCAUAUUUAUCAAUCCACAUACUACCAAUGAGAGGAUAUCAUUAACUCUUUAAUCAAGAUAUUUAUCCUAUUUUUUCUAGUAAAACCAUGCCAUACACAAGUCAUGUACCCAACAUACCAGCUAUCGGCUCAAUCAUAUUUAGAGCAUAAGCCUCCAUUUAUAUCAAAGCACAUGAGUUACAUAUAAGAUCAUGGUCAGUGACUAACUCAGGAUUUAGGUAAGUCACACCAUGAAAGUCACAAGUGAAUUAGUUCACAAGCGGAUUCAGAAUUAAUUCAACUUGGGUCCAGUCUAAUGUAUCAUCCUUCUAAUGAAUACAUCUAUGUCUCUACCCAUGGAGUCAAUUGCUCCGAUAGCCAAGACUAGUCAUCUCCCUAAUUAGAAUUGUAGACGACAUAAUAAUUCUUCUGAGUAUUUUAAUCAAAUGCUUACUUUGAUUAUUUUAUGACAUUACAGACUUGAUUAGGUCAUCUACUGAAGUAAGUUGACUUUCUCUCAAUGUAAAUGUUCUUAGAAUGCCACUUAUCAUCAGUUUGAACUUAGACAAUCAACGAGCUAACAUUUGUUUGUCACAAUUUUGCUAUGUAUGUAAAACAUGAAAGACAGAAACACAAAAAAUAUAAUAGUGAAAUGUGAAAUUAACUUUAUUUAUUUAUUCAUCAUUCAAAUGCAUAGAAAUAGUUACAUAUUUACUAAAAUAUGGGCACAUUUCCCAAUAAUUUAACGGUGGAUAGGCAACAGUGACAAUGACACAAAAAUUGCAGAGAAAAAAUGGUGACGAUAGUAGCGUGAACCAAUUCCGCAGUGGAAGUCCGUAGUGGCAAAAUAGAAGACUCAAAGUAUGUUUUAGGGUGAAUUUUGUAAUUUUAUGUUUUUAUAUGUGAUAGCAUGAUGAUAUUUAUUUGACUACGAAUGUAUAUUCAUGUAUAUGUAUGAUAAGCAUGCCAUAUAGUUUAGCGAAAGAAUGUCACAUGUACUUAUACAUAUAUUGAUCAUUCAUGAUUGAAACCAGACAUUAAAAAUCUUGCAUGUAUUUUAAAAUAUUGAGUGAGAGCAUGUCCCUAAACAAGACCUACAACCUCUAUCAAUGGUCUUUUACAAUGGCAUGAAAAUUAAACUACCCCACUGUAAGAUUGUCAUGUGGACCUCACUGAGGAGAUUUCCUAAAAAUAAGAAAAAUUAUCUUGUAAUCAUAUGAUGGUUGGCUAACCCAGUUGUAGGUAUUAUCAUGCAAUAUAACAAGAAGUUUCUCUUCAAGGAGGACAACUAGUCACAACAUGUUACUAGGUGGGAUUGUCCCAUGAUGACUCAUUUGUGGUAUAUAAUUUGAUAGGUGUUGAGUUGAUGUUUAUACACUUAAGAUCUUACUUAACUUCCCACGAAGCUCUACUUAAGUUAGAAUGAUUGUCAAACGUUAAACGAUUAUUAGUACCUGUGAAGGCCUGAGGAAUUAGGUUCUUGUACUAAUUGGAUUGAAAGUCAUGUUCUUACUAGUUGGUUAAGAUUGCCCCAAGGUGUCUUGAUUCAAUGAGUGUAGGAAUUAUCAUUGCCACGGCUUACAAAUGCUUUCAAGGUUUAAUGUAAGACACAAGCAUCAUCUUAAUGCAUAUUGUAAGUUGUAAAAUAUUUUCAAAUAUUUGUUUGACAUAAAGAUAUUAAUGAAUGAAUAUUUUAGUUUCAGUUCGAAAAUGACAUCUACUCCUUUAUUAAAUAUACUCACUAAGAACAAACUAAAUGAAAACAACUAUAAGGAAUAGAAAAGGAAUCUGAUGAUUAUCCCAAGUUGUAAGAAACUAAAGACAGCCCUUGAUAAUAAAUGCCCUCCUGCCACUCAAGUUGAGGCUAGAAAACUCUAAGAGGAGUCUAAUAAGAUGGCUCGUUGCUAUAUGUUGACAAGCGUGACCAACUCCCUUUAUAAGCAACUGGAAAGCUGUAAGAUUGUCAAAGCGAUUUUAGACAAACUAGAAGAUAUGUUUGAAGACCAAGUUGUCUUGGCUCGACAAUCUGUUAUUACUAGUUCGAUGAAUGUCCAGCAAAAUCUCGGCACUCCAGUCAAAGACCAUGUAAUCUCUUUUAUGAGAUACUUUGUUGAGAUCGCAGAUAAUGAGGUCAAUCUAGACCAAAACACACAGAUUAAGAUGGUGUUCAAAAGCUUUUCCAAUGGUUUUGCAGACUUUCGAACCGCAUAUAACCUUGGGAACAAGAAUCUGACACUUAUGCAACUUAUGAAGGAAUUACAAUCCUAUGAGAUAAUAUUGAAUGACAAUUAGCCAGUCCAAAAAAUAGAAGCUAACUUAGCUAUUACUUCUUCCUUUAAAGGGAAGGGAAAGAACGCUAAGAGAAGCAAGACUUAGUUCUCUAGGCCACCUUAACUGGAAAGGAAGAGAACCAAGAGACCUAAAGACUUAUCUACGUCUAAGUGUUUCUUCUGCAGUAAGAAAUGACAUUUCAAGGCGAACUGCAAAGAGUGGAAGGAUUUCUUGGCCACUAAAGGAAAAGGUAUAGAACUCUUUAUGAUAGAAGCUUGUUUAGUGGAAGAUUCAAUAAACCACUAGGUUAUUAAUUUGAUAGCCACUAAUAAUGUGUGUGUUUCGCUAAAGGGGUUCAAGGAGACGAAAGAUCUUAAAGAUAAGAGUCUAUCGUUUCGGAUCGAAAAUAGGACAAUUGUGGCAACUGAAGUUGUGGGAGAGAGAUUUACAUCUCUAUUUUGAUAAUUUUAGGAAGAUUAUUUUGAAAGACGUUUUCUAUGUACCAAGUUUCAAAAGGUGUAACACCCCUUACCCGAGACCGUUUCCGGAAUCGAGUACGAGGCAUUACUUAGCUUAUCUUACUAAUUCGGGGCAUAAAAAUUCGUUUUAAAAAUUAAUUUCACUGUUUACAGUAAUCUGUCCAAUCGCGCAGCAGUUACUAAAUUGAUUAUAACUCGAGCUACGGAACUCCAAAUUUAAUUUCGUAAAUUUUCCCUGAAACUAGACUCAUAUAUACUCACCAUAAAAUUUUUAGAAUUUUUGGUUCAGCAAAUUAGUACAGUUUAUUAGUUAAAGUCUCCCCUGUGUCACCACCAUACUGCCCUAACCUCUAGUCACUAAAAAUAAGUUUUCUCACUAUAGGAUUUUCAUAUGAAGUUCUUACUUAUUUCUAUAGAAAAUAGACUCAUUAAGGAAUCUAAGCAUGUAAAUUUCAACUCAUAACCAUUUUUUUACAAUUUGUAAUUAUUUUCUAAACUCAGAACAGGGGACUCCAAAAACAAUUAUGACCCUAUCUUACUAAAAUUCACAUAUCUUAAAAUAUAAAUUUCUUUUCUCUACACCGUUAUUUUUCCAUGAAAAUAGACUCAACAAGCUUUAAUUUCAUAUAUCAUUCACCCUCUAAUUCAUUUUAUACUAUCUUGGGUGAUUUUUCAAAUUCAAGUCACUAUUGCUGCCUGAAUUCUGUUUCUUUGCAAAAUUUUACCAUUUUAUGACUUUCAUACCUAAUUUAUCACUUAGACUUUUAUAACAAUAAUUAACUUCAUCCUUGACCAUUUAAACAACCAUUCAUCAUCAAAUACUUACACAUCAUUCUAUAGUAAAAUCAUAUUUACAAAUAUACAAAAUUACUAAAUUCCUAUACAUGCCAUAACUAAAAGAAAUGUUCACCACCACAAUUAGCUCAGAAUCGGCUUUGGAUGCUGAUUCAACAAUCCGACUUUGACCUAACCUGCGCACGGAAACAACCGUACGCUGAGUAUGGAAAUACUCAGUGGUAUUACCAUAAUUCGAAUUAAUAACAUUAAUCGAUAAAUUAUAUACAUUUUAUUUAUGUCUACAAUUAUUCAUUAAUUAUCUCAUGCAUUAAAUCAACUUGAUAAUUAAUAACAAUAAGCUAUAAUUCAAAUCUUGUAUUUAAUUGUAUUCAUACCUUAUUUCACUAUCUCAAUUCCAUUGGAUUUUUCUUUACAUCUCAUUCCAAUAGUUCAUUUCAAUUCAUAUACAAUUCAUUUCAUUUAAUUUAUAUUCAAUAUAAAUUUUAUUGCAAUUUGUACUCACUAAUAUCAUAUAACAAAAUUUACUCUUUAUCACAUCAUGAACUUUGGGCUCAUAUCUUUAAAUCUCUUAUUUCGAUUUCCAAUUCACACAUCAAUUCACAACUUCACUUUUUCGUUUCUUCCCAUAGCUCAAUCAAUCACAUUUAUUCAAUUUUCUCAUUUCAAUUAUUUACCCCUAUUAACAAGACUCGGACCUUGGCGGAUACACGGAUCCAACCAAACACACCAAAAUGGCACCCAGUGCCUCAUCGGAUAGUUCGACGCAAUAGUUGACACCCAGUGUCUCAUCGGCCCAGCCGAAGUAAAGUUGGUACCCAGUACCUCAUCGAAUCUAUCCGAAGAAAUAUAGUGACACCCAGUGUCUCAUCGACUCAAGGUCGAAGUAUCCCUGAACUCUUCCAAUCCUAUGGCAUGCCAACUAUAUCCGACUCAGCCCGACUAGUUAAUAGGGUUUCCGAAUCACAUUUCAAUUCAAUCACUUUCUCAUACUUUCAAUUCAAAUCAUUCCCAUUUAAUCACCAUUUGUUUCAAUACAUUUUUCUAUUUCAAAUUCACUUUCGAUUUAAUCGCAAUUCAACUCAGAUUCACUUCCCACUUUCAAAUCAAUAUACAAUUCAAUACCAAUACAUAUUUCAGAUAUUCACAUAUAAUCAUACUUCGAUUCAAUUCAAACCACUUUUCAAUCAAUACACAAUUCACAUAUUCACAUAUCUCAAUUUAAUAUCUCAUUUAUUCAAUUCAUAUUUUAAUUCAUUCAAUUAAAUAUUGAUAUUCUCCUUAUUUUUAUUUACUAACAUAUUAUUCAAAAUUCAAUAAUUACUGUCAAUAAAUUCAAUAUCAAUACGUAUAUAUAUUAUUCAAUUCAAUUAUGAAACUCACCUCAAUUUGCUUAUCGUGUAUAUUAAUUUAAUUUUCAACGAUUAAUAAUUAAAUUCGAAUUAUAGUAAUACUAACCGUAAUUUCUCUCGAGUCACUCCUUGUCCACUUUCUCCUUUCCUUUCUCGGACAAUGAUUCGUACACGACAUUAACUACGUAAUUAAACAAUUAAAAAUCAUUAAUACACAAUUUCAUUAAAAUAUUUCCUUUUAUACCUAAACUUUACCCAAAUUCUAAUUUAAUCCCUUACCAAUACUAAUUUUAUUUUUCUCAAUCUAACUCUAUAUUCUCUCUUAAUUCUUACUAAACUCAUAUUUAACUAUUUAAUUUUUAUCAUGUUUUCAUAAUUCCGAAUUUAUUUCAAAUUAAUCCCUAAAAUUCAAAACUUAUAGUUUAGUUUACAAUUCAAUCCUUUAUUCAAUUCCAAUCAAAAUUUCUAUCAAAUACAUCCCUAAUUUAACAAUUUAUUCAACAUGAACCAUGCUUAAUAAUCUACUAACUUUCAAAAUUUCAACUUAAAUCAAGUAGUAUUUUAUUCUAGGAUUUCAAAAAAAAUAUCAAAAUUAAGAGAAAAGGGGAUUAAAUUGACUUACCAAAUUACUUUGAACCUUAAAACCCCGAAUUUCCCUUUUUCUUUUCUUUUCUUUCUUUCUUUCCUUCCUUCCUUCUCUGUUUCGUUUUGCUCUCUGUUUCUUUCUUUCUCCCUUCUCUGUUUUGUUUUGCUCUCUGUUUCUUUUCUUUCUUUCUUUGUCAUAUAUAUAUAUAUAUAUAAUAUAAUAUAAUAUAAAAUAAUAAUAAUAAUCAUUACUUACAUAUAUAUAUAUAUAUUAACUAGAAUAUCUCAGAUAUUUCUUUCAUUAUGCCGCCUCAACUUUAGAAAAAGGCAUAAUUGCCUAUUUGGUCCU